RNAcentral lists this ribosomal RNA (486 nucleotides) under uncultured bacterium. RNAcentral describes it as "bacterial SSU rRNA". It matches the Rfam family "Bacterial small subunit ribosomal RNA", at positions 34 to 507 of the family's 1533-position model. The record is from RNAcentral.
CGCUGGCGGCGCGCCUAACACAUGCAAGUCGAACGAGCGAGAGAGAGCUUGCUUUCUCGAGCGAGUGGCGAACGGGUGAGUAACGCGUGAGGAACCUGCCUCAAAGAGGGGGACAACAGUUGGAAACGACUGCUAAUACCGCAUAAGCCCACGGCUCGGCAUCGAGCAGAGGGAAAAGGAGCAAUCCGCUUUGAGAUGGCCUCGCGUCCGAUUAGCUGGUUGGUGAGGUAACGGCCCACCAAGCCGACGAUCAGUAGCCGGUCUGAGAGGAUGAACGGCCACAUUGGGACUGAGACACGGCCCAGACUCCUACGGGAGGCAGCAGUGGGGAAUCUUCCGCAAUGGGCGAAAGCCUGACGGAGCAACGCCGCGUGAGUGAAGAAGGCCUUCGGGUCGUAAAGCUCUGUUGAAGGGGACGAAUGUUAGUCUUAUCAACAACGAGACUAAAUGACGGUACCUUUCGAGGAAGCCACGGCUAACUACGUG